CGUAACAAGGUCUCCGUUGGUGAACCAGCGGAGGGAUCAUUACCGAGUUUACAACUCCCAAACCCCUGUGAACAUACCAAUUGUUGCCUCGGCGGAUCAGCCCGCUCCCGGUAAAACGGGACGGCCCGCCAGAGGACCCCUAAACUCUGUUUCUAUAUGUAACUUCUGAGUAAAACCAUAAAUAAAUCAAAACUUUCAACAACGGAUCUCUUGGUUCUGGCAUCGAUGAAGAACGCAGCAAAAUGCGAUAAGUAAUGUGAAUUGCAGAAUUCAGUGAAUCAUCGAAUCUUUGAACGCACAUUGCGCCCGCCAGUAUUCUGGCGGGCAUGCCUGUUCGAGCGUCAUUUCAACCCUCAAGCCCAGCUUGGUGUUGGGACUCGCGAGUCAAAUCGCGUUCCCCAAAUUGAUUGGCGGUCACGUCGAGCUUCCAUAGCGUAGUAGUAAAACCCUCGUUACUGGUAAUCGUCGCGGCCACGCCGUUAAACCCCAACUUCUGAAUGUUACCUCGGAUCAGGUAGGAAUACCCGCUGAACUUAAGCAUAUCAUCAAAAGAAACCAACAGGGAUUGCCCUAGUAACGGCGAGUGAAGCGGCAACAGCUCAAAUUUGAAAUCUGGCUCUCGGGCCCGAGUUGUAAUUUGUAGAGGAUACUUUUGAUGCGGUGCCUUCCGAGUUCCCUGGAACGGGACGCCAUAGAGGGUGAGAGCCCCGUCUGGUUGGAUGCCAAAUCUCUGUAAAGUUCCUUCGACGAGUCGAGUAGUUUGGGAAUGCUGCUCUAAAUGGGAGGUAUAUGUCUUCUAAAGCUAAAUACCGGCCAGAGACCGAUAGCGCACAAGUAGAGUGAUCGAAAGAUGAAAAGCACUUUGAAAAGAGAGUUAAAAAGUACGUGAAAUUGUUGAAAGGGAAGCGUUUAUGACCAGACUUGGGCUUGGUUAAUCAUCUGGGGUUCUCCCCAGUGCACUUUUCCAGUCCAGGCCAGCAUCAGUUUUCCCCGGGGGAUAAAGACUUCGGGAAUGUGGCUCUCUUCGGGGAGUGUUAUAGCCCGUUGUGUAAUACCCUGGGGGGGACUGAGGUUCGCGCAUCUGCAAGGAUGCUGGCGUAAUGGUCAUCAACGACCCGU
RNAcentral lists this ribosomal RNA (1119 nucleotides) under Fusarium sp. CHTAG31. RNAcentral's name for it is "eukaryotic LSU rRNA". The stretch from base 501 to 1119 matches the Rfam family "Eukaryotic large subunit ribosomal RNA", at positions 1 to 652 of the family's 3401-position model. The record is from RNAcentral. Lineage: Eukaryota; Fungi; Ascomycota; Sordariomycetes; Hypocreales; Nectriaceae.